UAACCACAGGCAAUAGUAAUUUCAACAUCAGCAGUGAAAUGCGGAAAUGGGUCUCUGAGCCACAUCACAUCUGCAUCCUUGAAUGCGAAAUUAUAGCCCAAUUCAAGAACUCUCCUCAAGAAGUCAAUCCUUCUCCACAUAAGCUUAGGGUAUUCUUCAGUCAUGAACCUUUUCUCAACAGCAAAGUCGAUUCCUGGGGUAGUGAGCAAGUAACAGUGGGGAUGUAUAGACUUGCACCAAUUAAAUGCCUUGUAAUCUACAG
Molecule: long non-coding RNA, 262 nt
Organism: Telopea speciosissima
Lineage: Eukaryota; Viridiplantae; Streptophyta; Magnoliopsida; Proteales; Proteaceae
Exons: 3
Source: RefSeq, a predicted model, not a curated record